GCAGAGGAUGCUUUUGGCGCGGUGCCUUCCGAGUUCCCUGGAACGGGACGCCUUAGAGGGUGAGAGCCCCGUACGGUUGGACACCAAGCCUCUGUAAAGCUCCUUCGACGAGUCGAGUAGUUUGGGAAUGCUGCUCUAAAUGGGAGGUAAAUUUCUUCUAAAGCUAAAUAUUGGCCAGAGACCGAUAGCGCACAAGUAGAGUGAUCGAAAGAUGAAAAGCACUUUGAAAAGAGGGUUAAACAGCACGUGAAAUUGUUGAAAGGGAAGCGUUUGCGACCAGACCUUUUCCUGGCGGAUCAUCCGGUGGUCCCCACCGGUGCACUUCGCCAGGUCGAGGCCAGCAUCGGUCUCUGCGGGGGGAUAAAAGCUCAGGGAACGUAGCUCCUCCGGGAGUGUUAUAGCCCUCUGCAUAAUACCCUCGCGGGGACCGAGGACCGCGCCUUCGGGCAAGGAUGCUGGCGUAAUGGUUGUCAACGACCCGUCUUGAAACACGGACCAAGGAGUCGAACAUUUGUGCGAGUGUUUGGGUGUUAAACCCUCACGCGUAAUGAAAGUGAACGGAGGUGAGAGCCCUUACGGGUGCAUCAUCGACCGAUCCUGAUGUCUUCGGAUGGAUUUGAGUAAGAGCAUAACUGUUCGGACCCGAAAGAUGGUGAACUAUGCGUGGAUAGGGUGAAGCCAGAGGAAACUCUGGUGGAGGCUCGCAGCGGUUCUGACGUGCAAAUCGAUCGUCAAAUCUGCGCAUGGGGGCGAAAGACUUAUCGA
RNAcentral lists this ribosomal RNA (765 nucleotides) under Nemania chestersii. Its description in RNAcentral is "eukaryotic LSU rRNA". It matches the Rfam family "Eukaryotic large subunit ribosomal RNA", at positions 151 to 938 of the family's 3401-position model. The record is from RNAcentral. Lineage: Eukaryota; Fungi; Ascomycota; Sordariomycetes; Xylariales; Xylariaceae.